AGAAUCAACGCUGGCGGCGUGCCUAACACAUGCAAGUCGAACGAGAAAGGGGAGCAAUCCAUGAGUAAAGUGGCGCACGGGUGAGUAACACGUGACUAACCUACCCUUGAGUGGGGGAUAACCUAGGGAAACCUGGGCUAAUACCGCAUAAUACCUUCGGGUCAAAGGAGCAAUUCGCUUAAGGAGGGGGUCGCGGCCGAUUAGUUAGUUGGCGGGGUAAUGGCCCACCAAGACUGUGAUCGGUAUCCGGCCUGAGAGGGCGCACGGACACACUGGAACUGAAACACGGUCCAGACUCCUACGGGAGGCAGCAGUGGGGAAUUUUGCGCAAUGGGGGAAACCCUGACGCAGCAACGCCGCGUGGAGGAUGAAGUCCCUUGGGACGUAAACUCCUUUCGAUCGGGACGAUUAUGACGGUACCGGAAGAAGAAGCCCCGGCUAACUUCGUGCCAGCAGCCGC
RNAcentral lists this ribosomal RNA (460 nucleotides) under uncultured bacterium. RNAcentral's name for it is "SSU rRNA". It matches the Rfam family "Bacterial small subunit ribosomal RNA", at positions 26 to 518 of the family's 1533-position model. The record is from RNAcentral.